UUUGUAUGCGGGGUAGGGGAGCGUUCUGUAAGCGGUUGAAGGUGGUCUGUAAGGGCUGCUGGACGUAUCAGAAGUGCGAAUGCUGACAUGAGUAACGAUAAAGGGGGUGAAAAACCCCCUCGCCGGAAGACCAAGGGUUCCUGUCCAACGUUAAUCGGGGCAGGGUAAGUCGACCCCUAAGGCGAGGCCGAAAGGCGUAGUCGAUGGGAAACGGGUUAAUAUUCCCGUACUUCUUAUAAUUGCGAUGGGGGGACGGAGAAGGCUAGGUGGGCCUGGCGAUGGUUGUCCAGGUUCAAGUAUGUAGGCGGAAAGUUUAGGUAAAUCCGGACUUUCUUAACGCUGAGAUACGAUGUCGAGCUGCUACGUGCAGUGAAGUCAUUGAUGCCAUGCUUCCAGGAAAAGCCUCUAAGCUUCAGAUUAUAAGAAAUCGUACCCCAAACCGACACAGGUGGUCGGGUAGAGAAUACCAAGGCGCUUGAGAGAACUCGGGUGAAGGAACUAGGCAAAAUGGUACCGUAACUUCGGGAGAAGGUACGCUCUUGGCGGUGAAGUCCCUUGCGGAUGGAGCUACUAGGAGUCGCAGAUACCAGGUGGCUGCAACUGUUUAUUAAAAACACAGCACUGUGCAAAAUCGUAAGAUGACGUAUACGGUGUGACGCCUGCCCGGUGCCGGAAGGUUAAUUGAUGGGGUUAGACUUCGGUCGAAGCUCUUGAUCGAAGCCCCGGUAAACGGCGGCCGUAACUAUAACGGUCCUAAGGUAGCGAAAUUCCUUGUCGGGUAAGUUCCGACCUGCACGAAUGGCGUAAUGAUGGCCACGCUGUCUCCACCCGAGACUCAGUGAAAUUGAAAUCGCUGUGAAGAUGCAGUGUACCCGCGGCUAGACGGAAAGACCCCGUGAACCUUUACUACAGCUUGGCACUGAACAUUGACCCUACAUGUGUAGGAUAGGUGGGAGGCUUUGAAGACGGUACGCCAGUAUCGUUGGAGCCGUCCUUGAAAUACCACCCUUGUAGUGUUGAUGUUCUAACUUAGUCCCCUUAUCGGGGAUGAGGACAGUGCCUGGUGGGUAGUUUGACUGGGGCGGUCUCCUCCCAAAGAGUAACGGAGGAGCACGAAGGUGGGCUAAACACGGUUGGACAUCGUGUGGUUAGUGCAAUGGCAUAAGCCCGCUUGACUGCGAGAAUGACAAUUCGAGCAGGUGCGAAAGCAGGUCAUAGUGAUCCGGUGGUUCUGAAUGGAAGGGCCAUCGCUCAACGGAUAAAAGGUACUCCGGGGAUAACAGGCUGAUACCGCCCAAGAGUUCAUAUCGACGGCGGUGUUUGGCACCUCGAUGUCGGCUCAUCACAUCCUGGGGCUGAAGUCGGUCCCAAGGGUAUGGCUGUUCGCCAUUUAAAGUGGUACGCGAGCUGGGUUUAGAACGUCGUGAGACAGUUCGGUCCCUAUCUGCCGUGGGCGUUGGAAGAUUGAAGGGGGCUGCUCCUAGUACGAGAGGACCGGAGUGGACGAACCUCUGGUGUUCGGGUUGUCAUGCCAAUGGCAUUGCCCGGUAGCUAAGUUCGGAAUCGAUAACCGCUGAAAGCAUCUAAGCGGGAAGCGAGCCCUGAGAUGAGUCUUCCCUGGCACUUUAAGUGUCCUAAAGGGUUGUUCGAGACUAGAACGUUGAUAGGCAGGGUGUGUAAGUGCUGCGAGGCAUUGAGCUAACCUGUACUAAUUGCCCGUGAGGCUUAACCAUACAACACCCAAGGGGUUU
Molecule: ribosomal RNA, 1751 nt
Filed under: Vibrio breoganii ZF-29
Lineage: Bacteria; Pseudomonadati; Pseudomonadota; Gammaproteobacteria; Vibrionales; Vibrionaceae
Also listed under: 1 other name
Description: bacterial LSU rRNA
Rfam family: Bacterial large subunit ribosomal RNA
Source: RNAcentral